Triplophysa rosa is the source of this 1279-nucleotide long non-coding RNA. RefSeq lists it as uncharacterized. Lineage: Eukaryota; Metazoa; Chordata; Actinopteri; Cypriniformes; Nemacheilidae. The transcript has 3 exons. The record is from RefSeq and is a predicted model, not a curated record.
UAUGACUCCUGCAAAACUCUCUGGAUGUUGCAGGAUAUAACUUACUGUAAAGCAGCACAUCACAGCAAGAGAAUUACGCAGACAUCAAGCAAAAGGAGUGUGAGUUAAACGGGUUUCUGACAUACUGUAUGCUGUAGACCAGACAACAGACAUCAAGAAAGAAAAGCAGGCAACAACGUUGUCAAACCAGCCUCAACAGAUGUCUUUUAUGCAAGAUCUUUUUUUAAAAUUUUUUAACUUUUUGUUGAACAUGGAUGCAUUUUCCAAAUCUAUUCUUUUCAGCCUUUUUUUAUGUGUCGUGGAGAAGAUCAUUGGCUUCACUUUUACAUGCCCGUGCAAACAUUUUUUGAAUCAACAAAUAAUAACGUCCAUCUUCUUCGGACCUUUUCUUUCAUCAUUUGUUGUGAUGUUCAUCCGGUUAAGACCGUUUAGAUACCCGUACUUUGAAGUGGAAGAUCGUCGUUCAGCAACACCAACUGAUGCGGAGGAGUCUCAGCGUUCAAAUGAGGCCAAAGCUCCACGCAAUUGUCCUGAGGCUUUUGCGUAUUGUCUGAUUCCCCCAUUUUUUUGGAUCACAUUCUUGUUACUUGAUGGCGAUUAUGUGGCAUGUGCCUCGACCACAUGGGAUGGAAAGUAUGUUAAGGAUCAAGAUCUAGACAGAAUGUGGUGUCAACCCAUGGAUCGGUACAUGAAUGACAGUGAACAUAGACAUGCCUUUCAGGGCUAUAUUUCGACAUCGCAGAGUGCAGGUUAUGUACUGCUCGGUGUCUUCAGUGUUGUAAUCGCUGUAUUAGUGGGAAUUUAUGACUGUUUCAAAAGUGGAAAAGCUAAAUUCUGCAGAGGAAAACAUCAAGACACACAGCAGGGACAGCAAGAGGCACGUGGUGGUGAAUGUGAGCUUGAACCACUUGUUGCUUGAUGCGCUGUAUGAAAUAUAAAUCUGUAUUUUGCUUUUGCUAAAGGGUUAAUGAACACCUCAGAAGUUCAUUAGAAAGUUUCAUGAGUAUUUAAAGACACCAGGGGUCAGCUAUUUCAGUUAUACAAAAUCAAGUCCUCGGCUUGAAAGGGGAAGGUCUUUAGUGUAAUCAUUUUAACGGGUCACUAAAGCAACAUUUUUAUAUUGUUUUACAAACAUAUGACUUGUUUGCUUUAGUUACUGCGUUUUCUUUGUUUCAAUGCUGAUUUGAGGUUAGAUUCUGUUAAUCCUCUUUUGUGCUGUAACCUUUAUUCUUUUCAGAAGUCUUGAUUUGUAGUUAUUUUAUUUGAUAUACUAUGUAAA